AGAGUUUGAUCCUGGCUCAGAUUGAACGCUGGCGGCAUGCCCUACACAUGCAAGUCGAACGGCAGCACGGACUUCGGUCUGGUGGCGAGUGGCGAACGGGUGAGUAAUGCAUCGGAACGUACCUUUCAGUGGGGGAUAACUAUCCGAAAGGAUAGCUAAUACCGCAUAUUCUGUGAGCAGGAAAGCAGGGGAUCGCAAGACCUUGCGCUGAUUGAGCGGCCGAUGUCAGAUUAGCUAGUUGGUGAGGUAAAGGCUCACCAAGGCGACGAUCUGUAGCGGGUCUGAGAGGAUGAUCCGCCACACUGGAACUGAGACACGGUCCAGACUCCUACGGGAGGCAGCAGUGGGGAAUUUUGGACAAUGGGGGCAACCCUGAUCCAGCCAUGCCGCGUGAGUGAAGAAGGCCUUCGGGUUGUAAAGCUCUUUCGGCCGGGAAAAAAUCGCAUGGGUUAAUACCCUGUGUGGAUGAUGGUACCGGAAUAAGAAGCACCGGCUAACUACGUGCCAGCAGCCGCGGUAAUACGUAGGGUGCGAGCGUUAAUCGGAAUUACUGGGCGUAAAGCGUGCGCAGGCGGUUUUGUAAGACAGGCGUGAAAUCCCCGGGCUCAACCUGGGAACUGCGCUUGUGACUGCAAGGCUAGAGUACGGCAGAGGGGGGUGGAAUUCCACGUGUAGCAGUGAAAUGCGUAGAGAUGUGGAGGAACACCAAUGGCGAAGGCAGCCCCCUGGGUCGAUACUGACGCUCAUGCACGAAAGCGUGGGUAGCAAACAGGAUUAGAUACCCUGGUAGUCCACGCCCU
Molecule: ribosomal RNA, 800 nt
Filed under: uncultured bacterium
Lineage: Bacteria
Description: bacterial SSU rRNA
Rfam family: Bacterial small subunit ribosomal RNA
Source: RNAcentral